GCCUGUCUAGUUUAAUGGAAAAACGCCAACUUCGUAAAUUGGAGAUAGGGGUUCGAAUCCCUAGACAGGCUC
Molecule: transfer RNA, 72 nt
Filed under: bioreactor metagenome
Description: tRNA-Thr
Rfam family: tRNA
About the family: Transfer RNA (tRNA) molecules are approximately 80 nucleotides in length. Their secondary structure includes four short double-helical elements and three loops (D, anti-codon, and T loops).
Source: RNAcentral